RNAcentral lists this ribosomal RNA (492 nucleotides) under uncultured bacterium. Its description in RNAcentral is "partial 16S ribosomal RNA". It matches the Rfam family "Bacterial small subunit ribosomal RNA", at positions 29 to 507 of the family's 1533-position model. The record is from RNAcentral.
AGUGAACGCUGGCGGUAGGCCUAACACAUGCAAGUCGAACGGCAGCACAGUAAGAGCUUGCUCUUACGGGUGGCGAGUGGCGGACGGGUGAGGAAUACGUCGGAAUCUACUUUUUCGUGGGGGAUAACGUAGGGAAACUUACGCUAAUACCGCAUACGACCUACGGGUGAAAGCAGGGGAUCUUCGGACCUUGCGCGAUUGAAUGAGCCGAUGUCGGAUUAGCUAGUUGGCGGGGUAAAGGCCCAUCAAGGCGACGAUCCGUAGCUGGUCUGAGAGGAUGAUCAGCCACACUGGAACUGAGACACGGUCCAGACUCCUACGGGAGGCAGCAGUGGGGAAUAUUGGACAAUGGGCGCAAGCCUGAUCCAGCCAUACCGCGUGGGUGAAGAAGGCCUUCGGGUUGUAAAGCCCUUUUGUUGGGAAAGAAAAGCAGCAGGUUAAUACCCCGCUGUUCUGACGGUACCCAAAGAAUAAGCACCGGCUAACUUCGUG